AUCUAAAAACUAUACAAAAAUCUCCAAUAAAUCUAAAUAGUAUAGUGCAAUUUAAACUUACUAAUAAAUCUAUAUAUAUAUUGAAAAAAUAUAUAGGAUAUUUCAAAUAUUUUCUAAUAAAAUAUAACAUAUAAAUUUAUAAAAUAUAAUAUUUAUUGUAAUUUUUUGAAUAAAUAUGAUGUAAAAAUUUAUAUUGAUUUAAAUAAAUUAAAAU
Molecule: long non-coding RNA, 214 nt
Filed under: Ananas comosus (pineapple)
Lineage: Eukaryota; Viridiplantae; Streptophyta; Magnoliopsida; Poales; Bromeliaceae
Description: long non-coding RNA (ACOM_LNC010385)
Source: RNAcentral